AGAUUUUAUCUUCAGAACGCCCAUCACUUUGGCCAAACACGGAGAGACUCACGAGGAGCAUAAAAGCCACUUGCGAAAGCUGAGACAUGACAAAUGGCAAGAAGAGAAGAUGCCGGAGGAUUUGAUUCACAAGCUGAUGGCGGGGGACGACGCUGAAGUGGACAGGAAGAGGACGGAUGACCAGAAGAAAGAGGAAUCCCUGGUGGCCAGAGUGAGCCACGAAUGUUUUCCCGAGUGCCUGUCGGAUUCCGAAAACGAGGAACCCUUCCAGUGCCGGCCCGUCUAUCGGUCGGCUUUUGUCUCCAAGGGCAGCGCCUACUCGGUCGCCUUGCUGGCUGG
Molecule: non-coding RNA, 339 nt
Organism: Notechis scutatus (mainland tiger snake)
Lineage: Eukaryota; Metazoa; Chordata; Lepidosauria; Squamata; Elapidae
Source: RefSeq, a predicted model, not a curated record